Molecule: ribosomal RNA, 902 nt
Filed under: uncultured Planctomycetia bacterium
Lineage: Bacteria; Pseudomonadati; Planctomycetota; Planctomycetia
Description: bacterial SSU rRNA
Rfam family: Bacterial small subunit ribosomal RNA
Source: RNAcentral
CGAGAACCCCGCAAGGGGGGAAAGUGGCGAAAGGGGCAGUAAUGCAUGGGUAAUCUACCCCGGGGACGUGGAUAGCCAUCCUAACGGGUGGGUAAUACACGGCAAUUCGGCGCGGGGGCAUCCUCGUGCCGGGAAAUGAAUUUCGCCUCGGGAGGAACUCAUGUCGUAUUAGCUUGUUGGCGGGGUAACGGCCCACCAAGGCAAAGAUGCGUAGCGGGUGUGAGAGCACGACCCGCGCCACUGGCACUGAGACACUGGCCAGACACCUACGGGUGGCUGCAGUCGAGGAUCUUCGGCAAUGAGCGCAAGCUUGACCGAGCGACGCCGCGUGUGCGACGAAGGCCUUCGGGUUGUAAAGCACUGUCGAGGGGGAGGAAAGCCCGAAAGGGUCUGACCUAUCCCUGGAGGAAGCACGGGCUAAGUUCGUGCCAGCAGCCGCGGUAAGACGAACCGUGCGAACGUUGUUCGGAAUCACUGGGCAUAAAGGGCGCGUAGGCGGGCCGUAAAGUCCGAGGUGAAAUCCCCCAGCUCAACUGGGGAACUGCCUCGGAUACUGACGGCCUCGAGUAAGGUAGGGGCAUGCGGAACUGAUGGUGGAGCGGUGAAAUGUGUUGAUAUCAUCAGGAACUCCGGUGGCGAAAGCGGCAUGCUGGACCUUCACUGACGCUGAGGCGCGAAAGCCAGGGGAGCAAACGGGAUUAGAUACCCCGGUAGUCCUGGCCCUAAACGAUGAGUACUAGGUAGUAGUCUUGACAUGGGGUUACUGCCGGAGCAAAUGUGCUAAGUACUCCGCCUGGGGAGUAUGGUCGCAAGGCCGAAACUCAAAGGAAUUGACGGGGGCUCACACAAGCGGUGGAGCAUGUGGCUUAAUUCGAGGCUACGCGAAGAGCCUUAUCCUGGAU